AGAGUUUGAGUCCUGGCUCAGGAUGAACGCUAGCGGCAGGCCUAAUACGAUGCAAGUCGACGGGAAGGCCGGCCUUCGGGCGGCUUGAGAGUGGCGCACGGGUGCGCAACGCGUAUGCAACAACCCCCGACGGGCGGAUAGCCGGUGGAAACGCCGGAUAAUACGCCAUGGUCCCGCGUGGAGGCAUCUCCAUGCGGGUAAAGCGGAGACGCGGUGGGGACGGGCAUGCGUCCCAUUAGAUGGUAGGCGGGGUGACGGCCCACCUAGUCGACGAUGGGUAGGGGAUCUGAGAGGACGGUCCCCCACACUGGUACUGAGACACGGACCAGACUCCUGCGGAGGCAGCAGUAAGGGAUAUUGGUCAAUGGUGGGAACACUGAACCAGCCAUGCCGCGUGAGGGAAUGAGGCCCUACGGGUCGUGAACCUCUUUUGUCCAGGGACAAGGAUCCGGUCGGGAACCGGAUUUGAGGGUACUGGAAGAAUAAGCGUCGGCUAACUCCGUGCC
RNAcentral lists this ribosomal RNA (506 nucleotides) under uncultured bacterium. RNAcentral's name for it is "bacterial SSU rRNA". It matches the Rfam family "Bacterial small subunit ribosomal RNA", at positions 8 to 509 of the family's 1533-position model. The record is from RNAcentral.